CACGUGCUCCGGGGUCGGUGUAAUUCCGAGCCGGCGGUUAUAGUCCGCGACCUGCUCCCGCAAGGGAGUGGCUGAUCUGGUGAAAUUCCGGAACCGACGGUGAAAGUCCGGAAGGGAGGCGCACGUG
This 127-nucleotide non-coding RNA is filed under the name Pseudoclavibacter sp. RFBA6. Its description in RNAcentral is "FMN riboswitch aptamer (RFN element)". It matches the Rfam family "FMN riboswitch aptamer (RFN element)". Rfam says of the family: The RFN element is a highly conserved domain that is found frequently in the 5'-untranslated regions of prokaryotic mRNAs that encode for flavin mononucleotide (FMN) biosynthesis and transport proteins. This element is a metabolite-dependent riboswitch that directly binds FMN in the absence of proteins. In Bacillus subtilis, the riboswitch most likely controls gene expression by causing premature transcription termination within the 5' untranslated region of the ribDEAHT operon and precluding access to the ribosome-binding site of ypaA mRNA. The record is from Rfam by way of RNAcentral. Lineage: Bacteria; Bacillati; Actinomycetota; Actinomycetes; Micrococcales; Microbacteriaceae. RNAcentral also lists the same sequence under 1 other name.